UGGCACCAUCAUAGCUCACUGCAACCUCAAACUCCUGCCCUCAAGUGGUCCUAUCGUCUCACCUUCCCAAAAUGCUAAAAUUACAGACCCAGCAACUCUUCAACCCCCCUUUGGAAGUAGCAACUUAGCUGUACCUGACUGCCACUUUAAAACUACUAUUUUUGACAUUAGGAAUUGAAAAUAAUUGUGAAUGCACCCAUUCUUGGAAAACCAGGCAAGAGGUUUCCCUGGACCCUUGAAGCAUGAGAAGAGAUCUAUGAAAGGCUAAAUUACUGUUGCUAGCAAAGGAAGGCUCACAUGGGUGAAGCUGUGAUCAGAAGCAUAAGAUCCCUGGGCUGCACUAUGAAUGUAUAAUGUAUUUAUUAAUGUGGCUCAUGGUUAAAAACAACCACCAAACAAAACCUGACCAUGGAGUAACCAGCCAGAUGCUCAUCUGUUCACCCCUCUCCAAACCUGCGUCACGGCUUGUACAUGAAACAGAACCUAGGAAUCUCAACUAGAUCCAUUGUAAGUUCUUCAGUGAGACAGUAAAAGCAUGUUUUGUUGUCUUUGUUAGAACAAUAAAAACAAAAAAAGGGGCAGAAGAAAGAUGAUCAAGUAUGGGCUUACAUCCUUAAUUUAAUGAAAUCCUUCUGUUUCUUUCAAAAUACAUUCCCCCCACCAAGUUAAAAAUCUCAUAACUCUUUAUAAUUAAAAUAACAUUUUGGAAAGUU
RNAcentral lists this long non-coding RNA (713 nucleotides) under Homo sapiens (human). Its description in RNAcentral is "HSALNT0393803". Lineage: Eukaryota; Metazoa; Chordata; Mammalia; Primates; Hominidae. The record is from RNAcentral.